Molecule: transfer RNA, 91 nt
Filed under: Eubacteriales bacterium
Lineage: Bacteria; Bacillati; Bacillota; Clostridia; Eubacteriales
Description: tRNA-Met
Rfam family: tRNA
About the family: Transfer RNA (tRNA) molecules are approximately 80 nucleotides in length. Their secondary structure includes four short double-helical elements and three loops (D, anti-codon, and T loops). Further hydrogen bonds mediate the characteristic L-shaped molecular structure. tRNAs have two regions of fundamental functional importance: the anti-codon, which is responsible for specific mRNA codon recognition, and the 3' end, to which the tRNAs corresponding amino acid is attached (by aminoacyl-tRNA synthetases). tRNAs cope with the degeneracy of the genetic code in two manners: having more than one tRNA (with a specific anti-codon) for a particular amino acid; and 'wobble' base-pairing, i.e. permitting non-standard base-pairing at the 3rd anti-codon position.
Source: RNAcentral
CGCGGGGUAGAGCAGUUGGUAGCUCGUCGGGCUCAUAACCCGAAGAGGUAGUCGCUGUGGUCUACAUUCAGUUCAAGUCUGAACUCCGUGA